RNAcentral lists this ribosomal RNA (484 nucleotides) under uncultured bacterium. RNAcentral's name for it is "bacterial SSU rRNA". It matches the Rfam family "Bacterial small subunit ribosomal RNA", at positions 335 to 809 of the family's 1533-position model. The record is from RNAcentral.
ACUCCUACGGGAGGCAGCAGUGGGGAAUAUUGCACAAUGGGGGAAACCCUGAUGCAGCCAUGCCGCGUGUGUGAAGAAGGCCUUCGGUUGUAAGCACUUUCAGUAGGGAGGAAGGUAGUGUAGUUAACACCUGCAUUAUUUUGACGUUACCUACAGAAGAAGCACCGGCUAACUCCGUGCCAGCAGCCGCGGUAAUACGGAGGGUGCGAGCGUUAAUCGGAAUUACUGGGCGUAAAGCGCAUGCAGGCGGCCUGUUAAGUCAGAUGUGAAAGCCCGGGGCUUAACCUCGGAAUUGCAUUUGAAACUGGCAGGCUAGAGUCUUGUAGAGGGGGGUAGAAUUUCAGGUGUAGCGGUGAAAUGCGUAGAGAUCUGAAGGAAUACCAGUGGCGAAGGCGGCCCCUGGACAAAGACUGACGCUCAGAUGCGAAAGCGUGGGGAGCAAACGNGGAUUAGAUACCCUGGUAGUCAGUCAAGUCGUGGAGAC